AUUUUCUCUGAAAAACAGACUUCCCCUCCCACAGCUUGAGCUUUAUCUGUUCUUUGUUUGAAAAUAAAUGCAUGGUACAUGUGAAUACUGGAGAGCUUAGGGUGUGUGUGUGUGUGUGUGUGUGUGUGUGUGUGUGUUCCUCUGCUGUCCCCAACCCAGAAUCAUCUUUGAGCCUUUCAUGAGACAGUUUCAGCAUGGUUUUAGUCCCUGGGGCACCUUCUUCAAGAAGGACUUGAGAAGACCUCUUGUGUGAAGGCUGAUGAAUCUGAUUUCGCUGCCAAAUUACCCCAAGCAAUCUAGCCAAAUAGAGUGUGCACCAUGGGCUCUGUCACCACCAUAUGUCCCCUGAACAACUCCAGUGGGAUGUGGGACAAGAUGUACAAUCAGCUCCUUUCAAACCUAGCUCCUCCACUGCGAAUUUCAGGAUGCAUUGAUUCACGCCUAGGCAAAUCCAGCCAUCAAUCUGAC
RNAcentral lists this long non-coding RNA (468 nucleotides) under Sarcophilus harrisii (Tasmanian devil). RNAcentral describes it as "lncRNA (ENSSHAG00000026059.1)". The record is from RNAcentral. Lineage: Eukaryota; Metazoa; Chordata; Mammalia; Dasyuromorphia; Dasyuridae.